AGCAGCCGCGGUAAUUCCAGCUCCAAUAGCGUAUAUUAAAGUUGUUGCAGUUAAAAAGCUCGUAGUUGAAUUUCGGGAUCAGCGCGUCGGUCGUGCCUCCGGUAUGCACUGGCGCCGCUGGUUUCUCCCUUCUGAGGAACCGUGAUGUCAUUAAUUUGGUGUUGCGGGAAAUCAGGACUGUUACUUUGGAAAAAUUAGAGUGUUUAAAGCGGGCACGCGCUUGAAUACAUUAGCAUGGAAUAACGAAAUAGGACGUUCGAUCUUAUUUUGUUGGUUUCUAGGAUUGACGUAAUGAUUAAUAGGGAUAGUUGGGGGCAUUAGUAUUCAAUUGUCAGAGGUGAAAUUCUUGGAUUUAUUGAAGACUAACUACUGCGAAAGCAUUUGCCAAGGAUGUUUUCAUUAAUCAAGAACGAAAGUUAGGGGAUCGAAGACGAUCAGAUACCGUCGUAGUCUUAACCAUAAACUAUGCCGACUAGGGAUCGGAUGAUGUUAAUUUUAAUGACUCAUUCGGCGCCUUAAC
This 520-nucleotide ribosomal RNA is filed under the name uncultured Glomeromycotina. RNAcentral's name for it is "SSU rRNA". It matches the Rfam family "Eukaryotic small subunit ribosomal RNA", at positions 569 to 1092 of the family's 1831-position model. The record is from RNAcentral. Lineage: Eukaryota; Fungi; Glomeromycota.